This 615-nucleotide unclassified non-coding RNA is filed under the name uncultured Russula. RNAcentral describes it as "sequence contains ITS1, 5.8S rRNA gene and ITS2". The stretch from base 150 to 303 matches the Rfam family "5.8S ribosomal RNA". The record is from RNAcentral. Lineage: Eukaryota; Fungi; Basidiomycota; Agaricomycetes; Russulales; Russulaceae.
AGGUCGUGCACGCCCAAGCACUUUCAUACAAUCCACUCUUUCCCCUUUGUGCAUCACCGCGUGGGUCCCCCUUGCGGGAGGGCUCGCGCUUUUCACAUAAAACUCGAUACAGUGUAGAAUGUUCUUUUGCGAUCACACGCAAUCAAUACAACUUUCAACAACGGAUCUCUUGGCUCUCGCAUCGAUGAAGAACGCAGCGAAAUGCGAUACGUAAUGUGAAUUGCAGAAUUCAGUGAAUCAUCGAAUCUUUGAACGCACCUUGCGCCCCUUGGCAUUCCGAGGGGCACACCCGUUUGAGUGUCGUGAAAUCCUCAAAAACCCUUUUCCUGUCAGGAAUGGGAUUUUUGGACUUGGAGGUUCAAUGCUUGCCUUUCACUUUUGAAAGUGAGCUCCUCUCAAAUGAAUUAGUGGGGUCCGCUUUGCUGAUCCUUAACGUGAUAAGAUGCUUCUACGUUUUGGAUCUAGCACUGUCCCUUGGAUGCCUGCUCCUAACUGUCCCACACGGGACAAUGAUGGUGCUCUGGUCACCGCCAUCUACAUUGGCGGGAGGCUGGACCCACAAAACGAAAACCUUGACCUCAAAUCGGGUGAGACUACCCGCUGAACUUAAGCAUA